Molecule: long non-coding RNA, 729 nt
Filed under: Mus caroli (Ryukyu mouse)
Lineage: Eukaryota; Metazoa; Chordata; Mammalia; Rodentia; Muridae
Description: Pvt1 oncogene (MGP_CAROLIEiJ_G0005092.1)
Rfam family: Pvt1 oncogene conserved region 3 (bases 257-350)
Source: RNAcentral
GAGGACACAAGGCAGCAGACAUUCCGUCUCUGGUGCUUGCUUGUGGCCUCCCAGGACCUAGGCCUACCUCCAGCUUCUGGUGCAUUCCCUUCAGAGCUCCUGAGAAACCCUGGCCAGCCUCACAGCCCCCAGCAAGCUCUUCUUUCCAAGGCACUCAGCAAUUCGGGUUACCGGCUCAGUUUACCUUGAGCCUACUUACCUGGUCAGCAGGCCUUGCGUCUGAUUUUCUUAACUCGACCACGGUAAGAAGAUGCCCUCCAUCAGCGGGCUGUGCUUGCAGAUGUCGUGGGGCCUCUCUGGAGACUUCCCGAACCCUGUGGAUUUACAGUAAGAUGCAGUUUCCUGGGGAGUAAUUCUGGUGGAUACAAAUUCCGGAGUACUACACCUGGCUUGCCUGGAGAUGUUACAAGUAGUUGGUCGGAUUCUACAGCCUGGAUGCCCACUGAGAACAAGGACUGAAACUGAGAGGACUGUAUCUCUACCCUUGACUCAGUGGGAAUAUUUGCUGUCAUCUCUCGGGUUACCUGGAGCUCCCUCUAAAAUGUAAGCCCCCAAGACCCAUCUCCUUUCAACGCAGUGUUUCUGGUAUGUUUCUGUGCUUUAUACCAAGCUGUCUGUUGAUGUGGCUGCUAGGAGGAGAUCUGCUGUCUUCCAUGUCUGUCUAUGUGUCUGGUAUGAUGCUGGGAGCCUGUGGGAGAAAGACAAAAAGUAGAAGUUGUUCUGAGUUAA